GACGAACGCUGGCGGCGUGCUUAACACAUGCAAGUCGAGCGGUAAGGCCCUUUGGGGUACACGAGCGGCGAACGGGUGAGUAACACGUGAGUAAUCUGCCUUUGGCUUGGGAAUAACUUCGGGAAAUCGGGGCUAAUGCCUGAUGUUUACUGUCUGCUGCAUGGUGGGUGGUGGAAAGAUUUUUUGGCCAGGGAUGAGCUCGCGGUCUAUCAGCUUGUUGGUGGGGUAAUGGCUACCAAGGCUUUGACGGGUAGCCGGCCUGAGAGGGCGACCGGCCACACUGGGACUGAGACACGGCCCAGACUCCUACGGGAGGCAGCAGUGGGGAAUCUUGCGCAAUGGGCGAAAGCCUGACGCAGCGACGCCGCGUGAGGGAUGACGGCCU
This 385-nucleotide ribosomal RNA is filed under the name uncultured bacterium. RNAcentral's name for it is "bacterial SSU rRNA". It matches the Rfam family "Bacterial small subunit ribosomal RNA", at positions 28 to 417 of the family's 1533-position model. The record is from RNAcentral.